GGGAAACAAGGUCACAUGUUUUAUUUCUGUUGCUGACUGAUCAGGUGCUUAGCAUGAGAACAGCAGCACCUCAGCUAACAAUCACAGCAAGUCUGCAGGUUUUCCACUCAGAGGCAACACAACCAGUGCAGCAGAUUAAGAUUUCAUCCAACUAAAUUUGAAAAUGCACACAAAGAUCAUUAUCGUAGAUCUCUGGUCUAUACAAAACAUGUUCAUUUUAUUUUUUGCUCAAAAUCAUUUUUAGAUUUUAGGGUGCCUUGUUGCUUUAAGUCCAAAUAAUCUGCUGCUGGCCACGUCCUCUACCUCGACGUUUACACUCGCACUUGAACCUCGCUGGACACAGUUGUUUAAUUAUACAUCCGUGUAUGUUUGAAAAGCGUUAGUGAAGCCUUCUGCACAACCAACAAGAAUGCAGCAAGUAUUUCAGGAUGGUUGUCAACAACAAAACACUUGUCAUUUCCAGCAGCCACUAAAGCCAGCUGACUAAAGGUACUGGAGCUCUGCCUGGGUUGCUAGGUAACGGCGGAACUCGGCUGGGGUUGCUAGGUAACGGGUAGAGUAAUGUGAAAACGUGAAUUUUCCAUAAUACAUCCACUUUAAUUGUUCAACUUUUCAUUUUGUGAAUAAAAUGUCCACAAAUGUUUCAGUAGCUGCGUUUC
Long non-coding RNA from Poecilia latipinna (sailfin molly), 659 nucleotides. RefSeq lists it as uncharacterized. The transcript is spliced from 3 exons. Lineage: Eukaryota; Metazoa; Chordata; Actinopteri; Cyprinodontiformes; Poeciliidae. The record is from RefSeq and is a predicted model, not a curated record.